AUGGCCACCAUCUCUUCUUGCAGCCGCCUGUGCGGCGGCGGCAGCAGCACCGCCUUCCACCGCCGCCGCAGCCGGCCUGCGCGUGCCGCCGUCGUCACCUGCCGGAGAUUCUCCGCCGUCGUCCGCGCGGCCGCGGCCGCCUCUGCCACCGCCGCGGCGCCCGUGUCCACCGUGCCGCAGACCAAGGAGGUGAAGCUUCCGACGUGGGCGGAGUUCGAGCUGGGGAAGGCGCCGGUGUACUGGAAGACCACCAACGGCCUUCCUCCAGCCCCGGGAGAGGGCCUGAAGAUAUUCUACAACCCAGGGACGACCAAGCUGACACCCAACGAGCAGUUUGGCAUCGCCUUCAACGGGGGCUUUAACCAGCCGAUCAUGUGCGGCGGCGAGCCGAGGCAGAUGACGCUGCAAGAGAGGGGGAAAGCCUGUCCCCCCAUCUACACCAUCAGGAUCCGGGUGCCGCAGCAUGCCAUGACACUGGUUUUCUCCUUCACCAACGGAAAUGAGUGGGACGGGGCUUACACCCUCAAGUUCAAGGUCCCCAAGCCAUGGCUCGACAAGCCUUUGAGCUUCUUCAACGAGGGACUGGCUGACGAGCUCAACCUGGAGGGCGCCUGCGACAGGGCCAUCUUCCCGGAUGAAAACAUCGUCAUCACAAGCUGCGACAUCGGUGGCUUCUACGAGGAGGGAGGAGACCGGUGCAAGCUGGACAUCGUGAGCGGGUGCAUGGACCCGACCUCGCACAUGUUUGACCCGCUGGCCACCAUCGACGACGGCUCCUGCCCGCUGGACUCUGAUACGGAGGAGUGA
RNAcentral lists this ribosomal RNA (807 nucleotides) under Triticum aestivum (bread wheat). RNAcentral describes it as "partial small subunit ribosomal RNA". Lineage: Eukaryota; Viridiplantae; Streptophyta; Magnoliopsida; Poales; Poaceae. The record is from RNAcentral.